GAUGAUCAUUCAAAUAUCUUCGCCUAUCAACUUUCGAUGGUAGGAUAGAGGCUACCAUGGUUGGAACGGGUAACGGGAAUAAGGGUCGAUUCCGGAGAGGGAGCUGAGAAACGGUACCACAUCCAAGGAAGGCAGCAGGCGCGCAAAUUACCCAAUCCCGACACGGGGAGGUAGUGACAAUAAAUAACAAUAUAGGGCUCUUUUGGGUCCUGUGAUAAUUGGAAUGAGUACAAUUUAAUCUCUUAAGAGGAACAAUUGGAGGGCAAGUCUUGGUGCAAGCAGCCGGGGGUAAUUCCAGCUCCAAUAGCGGUAUAUUAAAGUUGUUGCAGUUAAAAAGCUCGUAGUUGAACUUCAAGAUCUGGUUGAGUGGUCCCGCCUAACGGUGUGUUACUGCUUGAUGGGUCUUGUCUCUUGGUGAACCGGUGGUGUCCUUUAUUGGAUGCUUCGGGGAACCAGGAACUUUUACCUUGAGAAAAUUAGAGUGUUCAAAGCAGGCCUAUGCCCCGAAUACAUUAGCAUGGAAUAAUAGAA
RNAcentral lists this ribosomal RNA (531 nucleotides) under uncultured fungus. Its description in RNAcentral is "SSU rRNA". It matches the Rfam family "Eukaryotic small subunit ribosomal RNA", at positions 289 to 822 of the family's 1831-position model. Lineage: Eukaryota; Fungi. The record is from RNAcentral.